UACAGAGGCCCCAAGCAUUAUCCGGAAUCACUGGGCGUAAAGGGUGUGCAGGCGGCUUUGUUAGUCCUUCGUGAAAGGUCUUGGGCUCAACCCAGGAACCGCGGGGGAAACGGCAAGGCUCUGAGGAUGCGAGAGGUAGAGGGAACUCAAGGUGUAGGGGUGAAAUCCGUUGAUAUCUUGGGGAACACCAAAUGCGAAGGCACUCUACUGGCGCACUCCUGACGCUGAGACACGAAAGCGUGGGUAGCGAACGGG
RNAcentral lists this unclassified non-coding RNA (255 nucleotides) under uncultured Parcubacteria group bacterium. RNAcentral describes it as "contains 16S-23S intergenic spacer region". It matches the Rfam family "Bacterial small subunit ribosomal RNA", at positions 524 to 776 of the family's 1533-position model. The record is from RNAcentral.